UAAAAAAAAAGGUUUUAGAAUCCUCUGAAAGAGGAGGAGAAUGGGGGCUCUCCGGCUCCGACCUCAGGCCUUCGGCCACUAGACUGCGAGUGCCCACGCACUGUACGCGCCGCCGUGUACGGCAGUGGGAAGGGUAAAAACCCUCCUUUCUCUUGGCCAAACGCAGGUAAUCUCAUUUUCCUUACUGUUAAUACUAUUUACAAGCAAAAAAGAAAGGAAUAAAGCAAAUAAACCACCUCUGCUUCUUGGUAUAUAAACUGCCUGUAUUUUUAUUUCUGUGUGUUUUUUCUCCAAAAAGUCCGUUCCAGAUUAGAAAAAAGAGGGGUUUUUAUAACCCUUUGCUACAUUUUAGGAAAGGAAAUCAUUCGAUUUCUUUCCAAAUUAGUUUCUUGGUUGCUGUUGGUUCUCUCUUCCUUUUUUUGCAGGUGUCUAGCGAGGAAAUCAGUGGGCCAGGAUGAUUAGGCCCUGAUGACGGUGGUGUUGGCGCUGAUCUGCGUUCAUUCAGCUUCAACUACUGCCAGAUUUGAGGCCUGGAAUCACGGCGUCGAUGGGGGUAAAUGGAAUGACCGAGGUUGAAGAGGCGUGACUGAUGGGGUGCUUACGGCGCGAAGCUUCUGGAAACCCUAGGGUUUCCAGAUUCUGUUUAGGCAUUGGGCCUCGUUUAGGUUGGGUCUUGUUUGGGUUUUGGUGUAAUGGGUUAAUAGAUUUUAGGCUAAAGGUUUAGGCUAAUUGGGUUGCAACCGGGUGCUGGGUUUUGGUUAAAUGGGUCAAUCAAUUUGGGUUUUUUGUAAACUGGACUGUAAUGGACCCCUUUUAAAUAAAUAUUUAUUUAUCCAAUU
This 839-nucleotide long non-coding RNA is filed under the name Gossypium barbadense (sea-island cotton). Its description in RNAcentral is "long non-coding RNA (GBAR_LNC008889)". The record is from RNAcentral. Lineage: Eukaryota; Viridiplantae; Streptophyta; Magnoliopsida; Malvales; Malvaceae.